AGGUGCGAAAGCGUGGGGAGCAAACAGGAUUAGAUACCCUGGUAGUCCACGCCGUAAACGAUGUCGACUUGGAGGUUGUGCCCUUGAGGCGUGGCUUCCGGAGCUAACGCGUUAAGUCGACCGCCUGGGGAGUACGGCCGCAAGGUUAAAACUCAAAUGAAUUGACGGGGGCCCGCACAAGCGGUGGAGCAUGUGGUUUAAUUCGAUGCAACGCGAAGAACCUUACCUGGUCUUGACAUCCACAGAACUUUCCAGAGAUGGAUUGGUGCCUUCGGGAACUGUGAGACAGGUGCUGCAUGGCUGUCGUCAGCUCGUGUUGUGAAAUGUUGGGUUAAGUCCCGCAACGAGCGCA
This 352-nucleotide ribosomal RNA is filed under the name Escherichia coli. RNAcentral describes it as "bacterial SSU rRNA". It matches the Rfam family "Bacterial small subunit ribosomal RNA", at positions 749 to 1100 of the family's 1533-position model. Lineage: Bacteria; Pseudomonadati; Pseudomonadota; Gammaproteobacteria; Enterobacterales; Enterobacteriaceae. The record is from RNAcentral.